ACCUAACAUCUAGCCUAAAACCAAAAGAAGAUAUAAUCUAACUUAAAACUUAAAAUACAAAAAUUAAAUCAUUUUAUUAAUCCCCCAGUAUGUGAGACAGA
This 101-nucleotide ribosomal RNA is filed under the name Hymenocephalus longibarbis. RNAcentral's name for it is "partial 16S rRNA". Lineage: Eukaryota; Metazoa; Chordata; Actinopteri; Gadiformes; Macrouridae. The record is from RNAcentral.